UCCCUGGUGGCUCAGAUGGUAAAGCAUCUGCCUACAAUGCAGGAGACCCAGGUUCAAUCCCUGGCUCAGGAA
This 72-nucleotide transfer RNA is filed under the name Bos taurus (domestic cattle). It matches the Rfam family "tRNA". Rfam says of the family: Transfer RNA (tRNA) molecules are approximately 80 nucleotides in length. Their secondary structure includes four short double-helical elements and three loops (D, anti-codon, and T loops). The record is from Rfam by way of RNAcentral. Lineage: Eukaryota; Metazoa; Chordata; Mammalia; Artiodactyla; Bovidae. RNAcentral also lists the same sequence under 5 other names.